GCUUGUCUCAAAGAUUAAGCCAUGCAUGUCUAAGUGUAAAUAAGUCUAUACUGUGAAACUGCGAAUGGCUCAUUAAAUCAGUUAUCGUUUAUUUGAUGAUCUCUUACUACUUGGAUAACCGUAGUAAUUCUAGAGCUAAUACAUGCUAAAAACCCCGACUUCAGGAAGGGGUGUAUUUAUUAGAUAAAAAACCAACGCCCUUCGGGGCUCCUUGGUGAAUCAUAAUAACUUAACGAAUCGCAUGGCCUUGCGCCGGCGAUGGUUCAUUCAAAUUUCUGCCCUAUCAACUUUCGAUGGUAGGAUAGUGGCCUACCAUGGUGGCAACGGGUAACGGGGAAUUAGGGUUCGAUUCCGGAGAGGGAGCCUGAGAAACGGCUACCACAUCCAAGGAAGGCAGCAGG
Molecule: ribosomal RNA, 401 nt
Filed under: Monascus purpureus
Lineage: Eukaryota; Fungi; Ascomycota; Eurotiomycetes; Eurotiales; Aspergillaceae
Description: partial small subunit ribosomal RNA
Rfam family: Eukaryotic small subunit ribosomal RNA
Source: RNAcentral